Molecule: non-coding RNA, 30 nt
Filed under: Mus musculus (house mouse)
Lineage: Eukaryota; Metazoa; Chordata; Mammalia; Rodentia; Muridae
Source: RNAcentral
UGGGAUUACAAGUGUGAGACACCACACCCA